RNAcentral lists this long non-coding RNA (2394 nucleotides) under Homo sapiens (human). RNAcentral describes it as "HSALNT0280774". Lineage: Eukaryota; Metazoa; Chordata; Mammalia; Primates; Hominidae. The record is from RNAcentral.
AAUUAAUGUUAGUCACUGUUGUCUUUUUUGUUUUUGUUUUUUUUUUUUUUUUUUGAGGCGGAGUCUCGCUCUUUCGCCCAGGCCGGACUGCAGUGGCGCUAUCUCGGCUCACUGCAAGCUCCGCCUCCCGGGUUGACGCCAUUCUCCUGCCUCAGCCUCCUGAGUAGUUGGGAUUACAGGCGCCCGCCACCGCGCCUGGCUAAUUUUUUGUAUGUUUAGUAGAGACGGGGUUUCACCGUGUUAGCCAAGAUGGUCUCGAUCUCCUGACCUCGUGAUCCGCCUGCCUCGGCCUCCGGCCUCCCAAAGUGCUGGGAUUACAGGCGUGAGCCACCGCGCCCGGCCCUCACUGUUGUCUUUUAAGUAGUGAAACAGGAAUGUCUCUCUGAUCAGAAAGCACAAUUAAGAUUCUGCAGAAAAGGAAAUCCAGCUCGGUGCCACCAAUCUGUACUAGGAAUGAAGAUUUGUUACCUGUCCUGCUGACGUCAGACCCAGCACCAGGUGCAGAAGCAACCAUCAUACAAAAAUCAAGCUUCCUUAAUUAUCCUCUGAAGAGUCCCUACCAGCAAGAAGGCUCUCACCAGACGUGGCCCUUUGACCUUGGAUUUCUCAGCCUUCAAAACUGGUCUCAGAUCUACAACACCUGAACACCUCCCCUGAGGAAGCCUCAAGUUCAGUGCUAGCUCUGCAGUCAACAUCAACCUAAAAUAUUACUACAGACAGAAAUCGUUCUGGAUCAAAAUUCUGAUCUUCUUUCCACUUUUUCAGACUCAUCAGAAGAGGUGUCUAAGAAGAUGCACAAAAAAAUUUGCAAGUGGACCAUUAUUGCCUGAGGGUCUAAAGUUUUACCAGAUUCUUUUUACAAUGAAGUAUAUAUAGUGUACAUGCUUGGGGAAAAUGCUGGGUCUUAAACCCAACCUCUAUUAACACGAUUAUUGCUCAUUAAUCAUGGCUGAAAAAUCUGGCAUCAAGAAUCACCGAGAUCCUAGCUACUCAAAGUGUAAUCCCUGGAUCAACAGCAUCAGCAGCAUCUGAGAGCUUGUUGGAGAUGCAGAAUCUCAGGCAGACCUACUGAACCAAAAAAAAAAAAAAAAUCUCAUUUUAACAAGACCCACAGGGGAUUGAAAUUUUCCUUCCACAUUUGAGAAGCACUGCUCUAGAUCCUCUCUCUUGAGGAGGUCAUUUACGUCAGGUUCUAUUCUUAAUAGGAAACAGGUUGAGAAAUAAAAACCUCAACAGGGCUACAAAUACGAACCCAGAAAAUGUGAAGUUUUUAGUGAAUGUUGAAAACAAGGCAGCAAAAUGGCUGUUUAUUAAACCUAAUAUAUUCUGUACUGAGAUCAAAAGGCAGGUGUUACAAGGACCAUAGCUCUAAUUAUGAAGUUGGCUAUUUCAACACGACCAGCCACUGAACACUACACGCUUCCCCUUCGUGCUUUUAGUCUUUCCCAUAAAUGCCACAUGGUUCUUUUGGCAGAAUUAGCUCCCAGAUUUGCAGUGGGAAUUAGACAAGAACAUUUUCUCCUUCCUUUCCUUUGAGAUGCAGGGAUGGGGGCUAGAGCAGGCAGCAGGGAGCACUUCUGAGGCCAGGAGUAAGCAAAACUAAAACCAGAGAAGGGGUGCCAAGAUAUGAAUGCCAGAGGGAACAUAAGGGCACAAAACUGCAAGAGGGGGAAGGAGGGUGACACAUUGCCAGGUGCCUGGGACCAGAGACGCACCAAGUGGUAGGGUCUUUUUAAAAUUUUAUUUCUUAGAAUGUAUUUUUAAUUAACAAAUAAAACUUAUAUUUAUGGUAUCUAACAUGAUGUUUUGGAAUAGGUAGACACUGUGCAAUGGCUAAAUCCAGCUAAUUAACAUAUGCAUUGCCUCACAUUUUUAUUUUUUUGUGCUGAGAACACUUAAAAUCUACUCUUAGCGAUUUUCAAGAACAUAAUACAUUGUUAUUAAUUAUAGUCACUGUGUUGUACAAUAGAUCUCUUGAAUUUAUUCACCCUGUCUAAGUGAAAUUUUGUAUCCUUUGACCACCCCUCUCCCAGUGCCCAGGCAACCAGCAUUCCGCUGUCUGCUUCCAUGUGUUACACUUUUUUAGCUUCCAUGUAUAUGAGUGAGAUCAUGUGGGAUUUGCCUUUCUGUUUUUGGCUUAUUUCACUUAGCAAAUGUCCUCCAGGUUCACGCAUGUUGUCACAAAUGACAGAACUUCUUCUCUUUUUAAGGCUGAGUAGUAUUCCAUUGUGUAUAUAUACCACAUUUUCUUUAUCAGCUCAUCUGUUGAUAGACAUUUAGGUUGAUUCCAUAUCUUGACUGUUGUGAAUAGUGCUGCAACAAACAUGAGAGGGGGUGCAGAUAUCUCUUUGACAUACCGAUUUCAUUUCCUUUGUAUCUAUACUGAGCAGUGGG